ACUUUUCACUCAUGAGAUUGGCAGAAACCUAAAAAGACGAUGAUAUUGUUAGAGACAGUGUAGUGCUGUGGUUCACAUCCCUCCUGCUCUGGACUUACCAGCUGUGGGAACGUGGACAAAGUGUGUAAUCCUCUGUGCCUCAGUUUCCUCACCUAAAAAAUGAGUGUCAAACCCAGUACUACCCCACAGAGUCAUUGUGAGGGAUCAGUGUUUAGAACAGUGCCCCAUGCAGAGCACACAUAAGUGUCUGCCGUGACUAUUACUAUUUAGCUGACGUACCUGAGGUGGGUGCGCAGGUGUAGAGGAAAGACGUUCACGCCUGGCCAGGAGUGUGAAACGUAGACAGCCAUUUCAGAGGGCUCUUGAUGUUUCAAAACUUUCAAACUACAUACAAGACUCCCCCCAAGGUGCCCCCUCUAACCCUGAAAUUCCACCUCUAGGACCCUGAAUCCCUUGGGGUCAAACAUGUUUCAGAUUUUCGGAAGGUAACUUGGCGCAUAUGCCCCAUCCUGUGUUACUCUUCCCCGGGGUCUGGGGCUGCCCCAUGCUGUAGACCCUCUGGGGUGUUCAGCCCACCUCAAGUGCAACUGGGGAAUUCUGGGGAGUGAAGGCCCUUCGGGUAACCCUCAGCUGGUAGAGCCCAGGGGCAGGUGGGUAAGCGCCCAGCAGCCUCUAGUCCUUCAGAGAAGCACCCCACAUUGCUCAGGAGGUCCUAGAGAAGUUGACCGCCCCCUCCUGCAGUGCCCUCUGCAGUGACCUCCGUAACGACCCUUGUAUUAUCUUCUCCCAACCCCCGUCUCACUCUCCCCGGUUGCUCCCUCCUGGAUUCUGGUGUCACCUUCCAAAAAAACACCUGCACUCAAGUCCUGUCUCAGGCUUUGCUUUUGGGGAACUCAGCCCAAGACAACCCCCUGAUGAAACACAUUAUUUCUUCAGCAAGCUGCACACAUAUCACAGCAAGUGGGAGAAACAAAAGACGCUGAACACUCUCACGUCAAUUUGGGUCAGGUUUGCUGGCAAAUAGGUAGAAGAAAAGACGUAUGGUUCUGGGAGCAUUUGGGUUUCAUGGCUGUGGAUAUGGGACUGGACUGCACUCUGCGGAGCACAAAGGCAACCUCUCUUGCUGAGUUCACUCGGUGUGAGUGGAGAGGCUCCCCCGGCCACGGACUGCACUCAGAAGGCCUGAGACCACAGCAGUCACCAGGAGUUGGGCCCUCCAGGAGCUGAUACUUGAGUGUAGAAGAUGUCUGCUGGGGCUCCUGGCAACACUUGGGAAGGGAGCCCUUUGGGUGGGGAGACAAGGCCACAAUCGAUGGGUGCUCAGGGAUGGCCCCGCUGCAGAGGUGAGGUCUGAGAAGGGACUUGACAAUGAGAGGAAGCCUAGGACGCCAGCACCACCUCCACCUCGCCACCACGGCAGGUGCUCCUGAUGGGUCUCAGGGCGAGCGCACCCUCUGCCAGUGACAGGUCAGGUGUGGGCUGUGACCAGUCUCAGCCAAUGAGACAUCAGGGAGGGCCCGCAGGUGGCCUCGGGCCCGGCCAGCCUGGAUGCUGAGGCCGACCUAUGAGGCUGACUCGAGGUGGGGAAGAGCAGAACAGGCAAACGGCCAGUGCUCACCCUGCUCCCUGCCAGGCAGCACUGUGGAUGGGCUUGUGGCCCACGUGAGACUGAGCAGGGAUUUCUGUCACUUGCGGCAGAAAACCUCCCACUGGCUAGCAAGCACCUGGUCCAUCCCAAGGGACAGACUGACAGGCUAUGGCUUGUCCCCAUCAUGGAACACAGCAGAGCGCCGAAAAGAAAGAGGGGGUAUCCUCCCGUCCUGAAAAGGAACCAGCGACGAGAGAUGUCAUCUGUUCUCAACCAGGGGUAAUUUUGCUCCCUAGGUAGGUUGCCAGGUUAAGGAAAUAAAAAUGCAGGGCAGCCAGUUCAAGCUGAAUUUCAGACCGUGCAUGUUAACUAGAUGUCCUGUAUUUACUGUGGCAACCUUACCCCCAGGGGACAUUUGGCAAUGUCUGGAGGCAGUUUUGGUUGUCACUGGGGAUGGUUAGGUGCUACCAGCAUCUGGUGGGAAGGCACCGGGGGUGCUUUUAAACAUUUCACAAUGCAUAGGACAGCUGAGGCCAAAAAAAAAAAAAAAAAUUAUCCAGCCUAAAAUGUCAGUUGUAACAAGGGUGAGAACCCCUGUAUUAAAUGAAAGAUAGCAAAAACCCCAUAAGAACCCCAUAAGAUAUGGUAGGAUCUCAUUUGUACGUCCUGUAUUUACUCUGGCAACCCUACCCCCAGGGGACAUUUGGCAAUGUCUGGGGUUGUUACUGCGGAUGGGGUUGUGUGUGUGUGUGUUUCUUUUUUUCUUUUUACACACCCAACUAAGCCAUAGAAUCGCAUAGAAAAAGGUAUGGAAGGUCACAUACCUAAGUCAUGUGGGGUAGGGAGUGGUCAUUCCUUUUACUCUAAAUACCUUCUGCAGUGUUUUAUUAUUUGUGAAGUUAAUUAUAACUGAAGUGAAUAUAUACGUGUAUACACACACACACAGAAAGCAUGCCUAUCAAAACAAUAGAUAUUUCACAAAGUGAACACACCCAUGGCAUGGCCUCCUGAUGAAGAUGAAGAACAUGGCCACUGCUCCAUGAGGCCCUUUGCAGUCCUGCCAGCCUCUCCCUCGAGGGCUGCGAGGGGAACUGCUGUCCUGACUUCCAACCUGCUUUGGGCUCCACAUGAACCGAAUUCUGCCCGACGUCCUCGCUUGAGACUGGCGUCUUUCCCUCAGCAACGUGUCAUGAUUCAUUCAUGUGGAUCGGAGCAGCGGUUGGAUCAUUUUCAUUGCUGUGAAAUACACCACAAUGGAUUUAUGCAUUCAACCGUUGAUGGACAUUUGGGUCGUUUCCCGUUUGGCAAGAUGAUGAAGAAAGCUGGUAUGAGCAUUCUUUCACACGUCUUUUCUUGGGCAUAUGUACUCACUCCUGUUGAGUGUAAACCUAGGAAUGAAUCGCUCAGUCAUAGGGCAAAUGUGUGUUCCUCUUUCCUAGAUACCAUUCGAGUUCCCAAAGUGCUUGCACGGGUUUACGCUGCCAUCCACCAGAGAUGAAAGUUCCGCCUGGGCUGCUGCCUCCUGGCCAAGCCUGGCUGGGUUGUAGCUUUUGCGCUUUAGUCCCUCUGGUGGGUGUGUAAAUUGCUAAUCACUGUGAUUUUAAUUCGCAUUUCCCUGAUGAUGAAGCUGAGCACUUUUUCAUAACUUUAUGGGCCAUUUGAUUGUCCUCUUUUGUGAAAUGCCUAUUCGGGCCAUUGGUCCAUUUUUCCAUGAGGUUAUCUCCGUUUCUCUCAUUGAUUUGUAAUUAAGAGUCCUGUUGCAAAUCUCUUUUCCCGCUGUGCGGCUUCUUGCCUUUUCCUUCGCUUACAACGCUCCAUGCUGUCCUGGACCCUAGCAUCACCCAGGCCUAGGUAAUAGAAGGGUGGCUUUUGUAAAGCGACUCAAGGCUGAGAAGGGAACAGACACUCUUAGCACAAUAAGCUACAGGCUGAAAAACAGCCGGAGGUGAAUCUUUGCAGCGUGAAUGGUCUGGCUGUCUUUUAUAAAAGUAACUCGAUUGGACUAGACCCCAUGAGGGACUCUGCUCCUCCGCUCCCCUUUCCCUGAGGACCUAAUUCCCCACUGGGUCAGCCGCAGAACCAGAUAGAGCUGGGGACUCACGACCCGUGCUGACGACUGGAUGCAAGAGGAGGAAGGACUUUGGUGGAGAGAAGGAAUCAAAAGGAACCAAGAAUGUGAGACAAGAGGACUUGCUGGUGGGGUCCCCUGCUGUGUCCCCAGAGUCCCAGCAUGUGCCUGACACACAGCAGGUGCCUGAUUGAUAGUGACGGUUCCCCAAAGGCUGCUGGAGUCACCUCUGGGAUUCUGCACAGGCUCCACCCUCUGGGGAGGUGUGCUUGGUAGAGGACACGAAGGCUGCUUGUUGGGGUUACCUUAGUACCUGGGUGAAGAGUAAAAAGUAAUUAAUAAUAACG
RNAcentral lists this long non-coding RNA (4003 nucleotides) under Homo sapiens (human). RNAcentral's name for it is "non-protein coding lnc-ELFN2-1:3". Lineage: Eukaryota; Metazoa; Chordata; Mammalia; Primates; Hominidae. The record is from RNAcentral.